RNAcentral lists this transfer RNA (77 nucleotides) under Thioclava dalianensis. RNAcentral describes it as "tRNA-Arg". It matches the Rfam family "tRNA". Rfam says of the family: Transfer RNA (tRNA) molecules are approximately 80 nucleotides in length. Their secondary structure includes four short double-helical elements and three loops (D, anti-codon, and T loops). The record is from RNAcentral. Lineage: Bacteria; Pseudomonadati; Pseudomonadota; Alphaproteobacteria; Rhodobacterales; Paracoccaceae. RNAcentral also lists the same sequence under 11 other names.
GGUCCCGUAGCUCAACUGGAUAGAGCACCUGACUUCUAAUCAGGAUGUUGAGGGUUCGAGUCCUUCCGGGAUCGCCA